Molecule: non-coding RNA, 1763 nt
Organism: Solanum lycopersicum (tomato)
Lineage: Eukaryota; Viridiplantae; Streptophyta; Magnoliopsida; Solanales; Solanaceae
Source: RefSeq, a predicted model, not a curated record
GUCGUGUAAUUCGUUGAGAAAAAAAGAUUGGAAAAGUGAAACUGAUGAAUGUUGACCUUGAGCGUAUCUCAAGAGACAGAUCCUCUUGGCGGUGACGCAAAAUUUACAAAUAUAGAGAAACAUAGAGGCGUCUCUCUUACUGCCUUUUUAAUCCAAAAUUCAAUCGAAGAUCAGGUUUCUCUGCUCUUUGCAAAUGCGGCCUUCUAUCUUCAGAUUCUUCCACUGGCAUCUCCGUCACAACUCCUUGACCUCGGCUAGCUUUUCAUCUAGAGCAUCAUUACUAUCUGCAAGCAUCAGUGGUCAAAAUAUAACUGCUAGUCAUCACAAUGGGUCCUUGUCAAAGAUGUAUUCAACUUCAUGCGAGACACUAUCAGAAGAUCCAUCCAAAGAUAGAGCUAUUUCUGACAUGUUGAUCGAUUCAUUUGGAAGGAUGCACACAUAUUUGAGAAUAUCAUUGACUGAACGGUGUAAUCUACGGUGCCACUACUGUAUGCCAGCUGAGGGUGUAGAACUCACCCCUAGCCCUCAACUUCUAUCUCGGGAGGAGAUUGUUCGCUUAGCAAGUUUGUUUGUUAGCUCUGGAGUGGAUAAAAUUCGUUUGACUGGUGGGGAACCAACUAUUAGGAAGGAUAUUGAAGAACUUUGCUUAGAACUGUCAAGCUUGAAGGGGCUCAAAACCCUGGCGAUGACAACAAAUGGGAUUACUCUGGGAAAAAAACUUCCAAAGCUGAAAGACUCUGGACUUAAUCUGGUGAACAUAAGCUUAGACACAUUGGUUCCAGCAAAAUUUGAGUUUAUGACUAGGCGCAAAGGGCAUGGAAGAGUAAUGGAGUCAAUUGAUGCUGCAGUAAAGCUUGGUUAUAAUCCUGUCAAAGUAAAUUGUGUUGUAAUGCGUGGAUUCAAUGAUGAUGAAAUUUGUGAUUUCGUUGACUUGACACGCGAAAGGCCAAUCAAUGUCCGGUUUAUUGAGUUUAUGCCGUUUGAUGGGAAUGUUUGGAAUGUCAAGAAGCUAGUACCUUAUGCUGAAAUGUUGGACAAAGUGGUUGAAAAAUUUACAGGGCUUCAGAGAAUUCAAGAUCAUCGCACAGAGACAGCUAAGAAUUUCAGGAUAGAUGGGCAUCAAGGCUCUGUUUCAUUUAUUACAUCAAUGACUGAGCAUUUCUGUGCUGGUUGUAACAGACUGCGACUUUUAGCUGAUGGAAACUUUAAAGUUUGCCUUUUUGGUCCCUCAGAGGUGAGCUUGAGGGAUCCUAUUCGUCUGGGCGAGGGUGAUGAUAAACUCAGGGAGAUCAUUGGGGCUGCGGUCAAAAGGAAGAAAGCUUCUCAUGCCGGGAUGUUUGAUCUCGCCAAAACUCCAAAUAGACCGAUGAUACAUAUCGGUGGAUAAUUGAUGAAGUAUAUUGGAUUUUGAUGGUCAAAGUUGAAUUGUACAAUGACGUGCGCCGCAUCAUAUGCACCAGGAAAAGAAAGAGAGAGAAAGUACAAGGAAAAAAAGAAAAGAGGAAGGUGACCAGACAUGUCAAAAUGCUGGACCAAGUUAGUAAACUUCAAUUUGGAUUUUCGACACUGUGUAUAAGCAUGUUUUGACCACCACCAGAAAAUAGUAAGGCCUAUGCAGAAAUAACUCGCGUGUCUCCGUAAAUUGUAGUGUUUCUCUUGUAUGUCAUGUUGAAAUAAGAAUAUAUACCUGUUCCAUUACAUGUAUCAUUUCCGCACAGGCUGUUGUGAUGUAAUCCUUGUGAAAUACACCUUUAUCGUGUCUC